Molecule: ribosomal RNA, 365 nt
Filed under: Acanthamoeba sp. J.JDP
Lineage: Eukaryota; Discosea; Longamoebia; Acanthamoebidae
Description: SSU rRNA
Rfam family: Eukaryotic small subunit ribosomal RNA
Source: RNAcentral
AAAAUUAGAGUGUUCAAAGCGGGCAGAUAUUUUUCCUGCCACCGAAUACAUUAGCAUGGGAUAAUGGAAUAGGACCCUGACCUCCUAUUUUCAGUUGGUUUUGUUUACAGCGAGGUUAUAUCAGGGUAAUGAUUAAUAGGGAUAGUUGGGGGCAUUAAUAUUUAAUUGUCAGAGGUGAAAUUCUUGGAUUUAUGAAAGAUUAACUUCUGCGAAAGCGUUUGCCAAGGAUGUUUUCAUUAAUCAAGAACGAAAGUUAGGGGAUCGAAGACGAUCAGAUACCGUCGUAGUCUUAACCAUAAACGAUGCCGACCAGCGAUUAGGAGACGUUGAAUACAAAACACCGCCGUUAAUCCUUCGGUAUGUGA